This 440-nucleotide ribosomal RNA is filed under the name uncultured bacterium. Its description in RNAcentral is "partial 16S ribosomal RNA". It matches the Rfam family "Bacterial small subunit ribosomal RNA", at positions 338 to 795 of the family's 1533-position model. The record is from RNAcentral.
CCUACGGGUGGCAGCAGUGGGGAAUAUUGCACAAUGGGGGAAACCCUGAUGCAGCGACGCCGCGUGAGUGAAGAAGUAUUUCGGUACGUAAAGCUCUAUCAGCAGGGAAGAAAAUGACGGUACCUGACUAAGAAGCCCCGGCUAACUACGUGCCAGCAGCCGCGGUAAUACGUAGGGGGCAAGCGUUAUCCGGAUUUACUGGGUGUAAAGGGAGCGUAGACGGCAGCGCAAGUCUGGAGUGAAAUCCCAUGGCUUAACCAUGGAACUGCUUUGGAAACUGUGCAGCUAGAGUGCAGGAGAGGUAAGCGGAAUUCCUAGUGUAGCGGUGAAAUGCGUAGAUAUUAGGAGGAACACCAGUGGCGAAGGCGGCUUACUGGACUGUAACUGACGUUGAGGCUUGAAAGCGUGGGGAGCAAACAGGAUUAGAUACCCCAGUAGUC